RNAcentral lists this ribosomal RNA (324 nucleotides) under uncultured bacterium. Its description in RNAcentral is "bacterial SSU rRNA". It matches the Rfam family "Bacterial small subunit ribosomal RNA", at positions 28 to 351 of the family's 1533-position model. The record is from RNAcentral.
GACGAACGCUGGCGGCGUGCCUAACACAUGCAAGUCGAACGGAGAUACGAUUUCGGUUGUAUCUUAGUGGCGAACGGGUGAGUAACGCGUGAGCAACCUGACUCUUAGAGGGGGAUAACACCUGGAAACAAGUGCUAAUACCGCAUAAGACCACGACCCGACAUCGGGAUGAGGUCAAAGGAGCAAUCCGCUAAGAGAGGGGCUCGCGUCCCAUUAGAUAGAUGGCGGGGUAACGGCCCACCAUGUCAGCGAUGGGUAGCCGAGCUGAGAGGCUGAUCGGCCACACUGGAACUGAGACACGGUCCAGACUCCUACGGGUGGCAG